AGGACGAACGCUGGCGGCGUGCUUAACACAUGCAAGUCGAGCGGAAAGGCCCUUCGGGGUACUCGAGCGGCGAACGGGUGAGUAACACGUGAGCAACCUGCCCUUAGCUCCGGGAUAGCUCCGGGAAACCGGAAUUAAUACCGGAUAUGACCUAGGCCGACAUCGGCUGUGGUGGAAAGUUUUUCGGCUGGGGAUGGACUCGCGGCCUAUCAGCUUGUUGGUGGGGUAAUGGCCUACCAAGGCGACGACGGGUAGCCGGCCUGAGAGGGCGACCGGCCACACUGGGACUGAGACACGGCCCAGACUCCUACGGGAGGCAGCAGUGGGGAAUCUUGCGCAAUGGGCGAAAGCCUGACGCAGCGACGCCGCGUGGAGGAUGAAGGCCUUCGGGUUCGUAAACCCUUCAGCAGGGACGAGCGAAAGUGACGGUACCUGCAGAAGAAGCGCCGGCUAACUACGCGCCAGCAGCCGC
RNAcentral lists this ribosomal RNA (472 nucleotides) under uncultured bacterium. Its description in RNAcentral is "SSU rRNA". It matches the Rfam family "Bacterial small subunit ribosomal RNA", at positions 26 to 518 of the family's 1533-position model. The record is from RNAcentral.